This is a long non-coding RNA of Dreissena polymorpha, 570 nucleotides long. RefSeq lists it as uncharacterized. The transcript is spliced from 3 exons. NCBI's taxonomy places the organism in Eukaryota, Metazoa, Mollusca, Bivalvia, Myida, Dreissenidae. The record is from RefSeq and is a predicted model, not a curated record.
CACAAAUGGCGCCCAACGUGGUUAUAUUUUAGAUUUCUCUCAUUUAAGAACUGAACAUUAAUUUAAAAAAAUAAAAUAAAUGAGUAUUGAUGAUUGUUAAAGAUUGUGGAAAAUCUUUGGUUGUAUGGAGGACGUACAGCUUAUUCGGUAGCCAGUGGUCGGAGCAGUUGGCGUGUGCAGUGGAGCAAUCCAGGUGGCAUUCUGAGCGAUCAUUGGGAGCAACGAGCGAUUAUUUGUUGGGAGCGACGAGCGAUCUUUAGGAGCGAGUAGAACAUCAGUGCCUGCAAAGUGACUGGAGCGUGUGACAUUGACAUUACCGUGUGAUUGAGAAAAACACAUUUGUAUUUUCACAGCACUGGGCAUCAUCUGCAUUCAAGACUGGGGUCAUAAGCUGUCAUAGGAGGCCAAUCCACAAUUGGGCUUUGACAACUUUGCGACGCCUUUGUGAUUUCUCUGAGACGCUUAAAUAAGCUGUUUAUCAUAGUUAUUUCCAGAGAUUGUAUUACAAUUAUGUAAUCAUUAAAAGUUAUAGUGUUGAGGGAAAACUAAAUUAAAUGGACAUGUAAUGAA